Molecule: ribosomal RNA, 485 nt
Filed under: uncultured bacterium
Lineage: Bacteria
Description: partial 16S ribosomal RNA
Rfam family: Bacterial small subunit ribosomal RNA
Source: RNAcentral
GACGAACGCUGGCGGCGUGCUUAACACAUGCAAGUCGAACGAUGAAGCUGGAGCUUGCUCCGGUGGAUUAGUGGCGAACGGGUGAGUAACACGUGAGCAAUCUGCCCUUGACUCUGGGAUAACUGCGGGAAACUGUAGCUAAUACCGGAUACGAGACCUGAAGGCAUCUUCGGGUCUGGAAAGAAUUUCGGUGAAGGAUGGGCCCGCGGCCUAUCAGCUUGUUGGUGAGGUAGUGGCUCACCAAGGCGACGACGGGUAGCCGGCCUGAGAGGGCGACCGGCCACACUGGGACUGAGACACGGCCCAGACUCCUACGGGAGGCAGCAGUGGGGAAUAUUGCGCAAUGGGCGAAAGCCUGACGCAGCAACGCCGCGUGCGGGAUGACGGCCUUCGGGUUGUAAACCGCUUUCAGCAGGGAAGAAGCCGCAAGGUGACGGUACCUGCAGAAGAAGCACCGGCUAACUACGUGCCAGCCGCCGCAGUAA